AUUGAACGCUGGCGGCAUGCCUUACACAUGCAAGUCGAACGGCAGCACAGCAGUAGCAAUACUGUGGGUGGCGAGUGGCGGACGGGUGAGGAAUACGUCGGAAUCUGCCCAGUCGUGGGGGAUAACUAGCCGAAAGGUUAGCUAAUACCGCAUACGACCGAGAGGUGAAAGCGGGGGACCGCAAGGCCUCGCGCGAUUGGAUGAGCCGACGUCGGAUUAGCUAGUUGGCGGGGUAAAGGCCCACCAAGGCGACGAUCCGUAGCUGGUCUGAGAGGAUGAUCAGCCACACUGGAACUGAGACACGGUCCAGACUCCUACGGGAGGCAGCAGUGGGGAAUAUUGGACAAUGGGCGCAAGCCUGAUCCAGCCAUGCCGCGUGAGUGAAGAAGGUCUUCGGAUUGUAAAGCUCUUUUGCCAGGGACGAUAAUGACGGUACC
RNAcentral lists this ribosomal RNA (437 nucleotides) under uncultured bacterium. RNAcentral's name for it is "bacterial SSU rRNA". It matches the Rfam family "Bacterial small subunit ribosomal RNA", at positions 29 to 479 of the family's 1533-position model. The record is from RNAcentral.